AAAAAACUAUAUUUUAUAUUAUAGUAUACAAUUUAGUAUGUUUUCAUUAAAUUCUUUGUCAAUUUUCUUGAUUUCGUAUCAAAUGGUGAUGUUUGGUUCAGUUGUAGCGCAGAAUCAAAUUCAAAAUAAUAGUAGUUGUGUUGAUGAAUUCGAGUGUGGGAAUCUUGGAAAUGUGAGUUUUCCUUUUUCUGUAUCUUCACAACCUGAUUGUGGAUUGUACAGUAUAGAUUGUGAUGUUACUCCCAAUCCAACAAUUCAUUUCGGAGAAAAUGUUUAUAGUGUUCUGGGACAACGAAACUUCGAUGGUUUUCGAGUUUUAGACCAUAGACUUGAGGAAUUAUUGGCGAAUAACAGUUGUGGAUCUUUCGAUAGAAGUAUAUUGUUUCCAAGUUCUCCUUCUAUCUCGUUUAGAAUCAAUGAACGAAAUCUUACUUUGUUUAGAUGCAACAACAGUUUAGAUAUCAACAGAAGCAUGAGUGAUAAUUAUUUUCGCGAAUAUCUGAAUUAUACUAAAUGUAGUGGCUUUAGUAUAUACUACAAGUAUCCUAGUAGAGGACGGGUAGGUUCCUCAGAUGCACCAGAGGGAGAUAUUCCGGACAGCUGUUCACCGAUUCAAUUGCCAAUUAGAUGGAACACUUCACAGUCAAACGCUUCGAAUAGUAGCUUGUUUGAUCUGUUAACUGGGAAUUUUUCAAUUCAGUGGAGCCUGUCUGAUGAUUGUAGUAAAUGUUACUAUGGAGGAGGUCGAUGUUUAACCGAUAGCAGCAAUAGAUUUAUUUGUUCCACUUCCAGCACUGAUCCCAAAGGUAAAUUUUACUUCUGAAGAGAAGUUAAUUAACUUAGUUAUUCUUCCCUACACUGCAAUAAAGUUUAAAAGGUUUCUCCUAUAAAACAAACAUACUGGACUCUAGUAUGCUUGUUUAAUACCGUUGGGUUUUAAAGGUGUGAACAGGAAAUGAAGUGUUGUGACUCUCUUGAAGGGUUGUGACUAUGCCGAAGGGUUGUGACCUGUAUGAAAGGUUGUGUCAUUUCUAAAGGGUUGUGACCGGUUGAAAGGUUGUGUCUUUUUCAAAGUGUUGUGACCUUUCUGAAAGGUUGUCUUCUUUCCAAAGAGUUGUGACCUUUACCCUUUGUUGGCUAUAAAUAGAGAGACUUUCUCUCAUUUUUCUGCAUCGAAUUCUUCCCUUCUCUUGCAUACAUUUCUUACAAAACAAAAUCGAUCGAUCGUGUCUGUGUGUGUGAUUCGUUGUUGUCAUUUCGAGUUCGUUGAAAUUAUUGAAAUUUUGAGGUACCGUUACUUCUUUAAUGGUUAAUCCAUUUUAUCUUGGGAGGAAUUAAUCUGCAACCUCGAGUACUUGAGGGGAUUAAAUUUCUUAAGGACACACAGUGGGUUCUGUGGACUCGGAUAGUUCUUUGUGUUUUUCUUUUCAUCUUUUAUUAUUUCUGGUUUGCUAAUCUGAAUACAGGAGAUAACAAACUUAAGAAAUUUAAUAUUGAUGGUAUUUUCUNNNNNNNNNNNNNNNNNNNNNNNNNNNNNNNNNNNNNNNNNNNNNNNNNNNNNNNNNUGGUAAGGAAAUUACUUUUAUUUUCUGUGUUCUUUUUGUUGAAAAAAAAAAAGAAGAAAAGAGGAUUAUUUUAUCAUAUGAUAAAAGAGAUUUGGGAUGAAUUAGUACUACUUUAAUAUGAUGAGUAUAUUCUGUAGUAAGUUUUCUUUGGAUGGGUAAGAUUAUUUUUAUUUUCUUUCCAAGUGCAUUCAAGCAUUGCACCCCUUCAGUUUUCUUUUCAAUGAAAAAGUUAUUUUGUGCAUAAAGGUUAAGAUAUGCACUUUAAUUUUUUUCCCUAUAUUCUUGAUUUUAUGUAACUAUGAGAAGAAGUAAAUGAACAAUGUUGUGUCCGAACAAUAUUUGAACAUAUGUUUAGUUUCUUAUUGAAAUUAAAUGUCCUCUUGAGGAUAAUAGGAAUAUGAUGGAAACUGAGAAAUGACAAAAAAAAUAUAGCAAGAAAAGUGACUUGCGUGAAAUCAUUGCUGACAUAUAGAAUAUGAUUCAAUGAGAGUAAAACGGAGGUUCUAUCUUUAUUUCCUUUAUUAUUAUUUUUUUCUAUCCUUUAUAAGUUAUGAGAUUUAUUUCAUAAAUGUUAGGAUAGAUGAUCAUUAUGUGAUGAUCUCAGAAUAUAUCUUUAUUAAUAUUAAUAUGUAUUCUGUUUAGAGGAGAAAAAAAAGAAGAAGAAAAACUUUUGUAGUUUUCUACUUCAUGUGAAAUUUGAUUGUGUUUGACUUUUGGAGAAUUUUUUUUUUUACUCCUUUGGUUUGAAGAAUAUAAGAACUUCACGAACAAAUCAGAUUGUGCAUUGGUUUGAAGAAUAUAGAAACUUCACCAAUUUGUUAAAUACUCUGUUUGAAUGAAUAUUNNNNNNNNNNNNNNNNNNNNNNNNNNNNNNNNNNNNNNNNNNNNNNNNNNNNNNNNNNNNNNNNNNNNNNNNNNNNNNNNNNNNNNNNNNNNNNNNNNNNNNNNNNNNNNNNNNNNNNNNNNNNNNNNNUUAGCUCGAAACAGUGUUGUAUUUGAGGUUUUUGGAGAUUAAAACCUUUUUGAUUUACUACUCAGAAUGUGAAACUGAUUCGAAGUAUAUAAAAACUUCAUCAGAAUUCAAGGUUCAUUCGGUUAACGAUUAGAAGAAUAUAAAAACUUUAUCGUUAAACUAGAAACAAGUUGUAUAAAGAUUGAAUCUUUAUUGUUAGUAUUCUAAAUACUAAGUGGUCUGUCUAAUUGUGACAAAAAAGAAAAGCAAUGGGUGUUUAUAUGGAUUAAAUCUCCAAAAGAAGAUUUCGUGUUGCCAAUGUGUAUUUUGAUGGUACACAAUAUGAAAGCAUGGGAAAAAAUAUGUGGAAAAUAAUUUCAAAUACUUGAAAAAUAUUUUUGGGAACAUAUUUAAAAUGUGGGGGGUUCUUUACUUGUGAUAAGACAAAAUUAGACUUACUAUCUAAUUAAAUUUGAAAGUACAAGAUAUGAAAUUUAAUGACAUUCUUGUAUUAUGUUAGUCCCACAAAAAUUCUUGGAGUAUAUUUGAUAUUGUGAUCGUUGAGUCUCUCUUUACUAGUAUAUGAUAUGACUAGUAUAAAACCACAAAAUUAUAUUACUUGUUCAAAAGAAUUGUAUUCUUUGAUGAAAAAGUUUCACUUAAAAUAUUGUGAUUUUUCAUGAAAAGAUAUGUCUAUUAAAAUAAAUUUUUUCGUAUAGACAUGAACAUUGGUGAAAAGUGAUAUGUUAUGUUUGUGUUGUAAAACAAACAUUUGGGUUAUAUUGCCCUUAUUGGACCGAUGAUACUAUGGUCAUGGGUAAUUCUAUAACAAAUUGAAUGUUAUGAAAAGGUCCUUCUGAAAAUGACAUAUGUCAAUGUGUUGACUCUAAAACAAAGUCUGUAUUUGAGAAAGUUAUAAAAAGUAAAGAACAAAAUAUUUGUGGGAAAAGGUUACUUCACAGAAGGUCUUUUCGAACUUAGUAUUUCUGUUUUUUCUUACUUGCUUGAAUCAAAUUGUUUGUGGCAUAAAUGCUUGGGACAUAUCAAUUACAAAAUCUUGCAAAAACUGAACAACUUAGAAGUUUUGUCUAACUUUUAGUGCAAUAAAUCAAAAUGUCAAGCAUGUGUUGUUGAAAGGAAUUUUAAUACCUUAGAAUUGAUUUAUAUUGACAUUUGUGAUAUGAAGUCAACACCAUCUCGUGGUGGGAAAAAGUGUUUCAUAAAUUUUAUUGACAAUUGCACUAGAUAUUGUUAUGUUUAUUUGUUUGAAUGAUAAGGAAAAAAUAAUAGAAACAUAUAGGCAAUAUAAAACUGAAGUUGAAAAUCAGUUAGAUAAAGAGAUUGUCAUGAUUAGAAGUGGUAGAUGUAGAGAAUAUGAAUCUUCUUUUGCAGAAAUAUAUUUGGAAAAUGGAAUCAUCCAUCAAAUUACUGCACAUACUCACCUCAAUCUAAUGAAAUUUUUGACAUAAAAAAACCGAACUUUGAAGGAAAUGUUGAAUGUCCUAUUUAUAAGUUCAGGUUUACCACAAAAUUUGUGGGUGGUGCUAUCAUUACAGCAAAAGAAAACAACAAAAAAUUUGUUUGUUCAGAAAGAGAGAAACAAAAAGUUUUGUUUGUUANNNNNNNNNNNNNNNNNNNNNNNNNNNNNNNNNNNNNNNNNNNNNNNNNNNNNNNNNNNNNNNNNNNNNNNNNNNNNNNNNNNNNNNNNNNNNNNNNNNNNNNNNNNNNNNNNNNNNNNNNNNNNNNNNNNNNNNNNNNNNNNNNNNNNNNNNNNNNNNNNNNNNNNNNNNNNNNNNNNNNNNNNNNNNNNNNNNNNNNNNNNNNNNNNNNNNNNNNNNNNNNNNNNNNNNNNCAUAUGAGAAAUGGAAAUGAGGGAACUAUUCCCAAACGGGUCAAAAUAUGACCUAAGACUUUGGAUUGUAUGUUCAUUGGAUAUGCUACAAAUAGUAAAGCAUGUCGAUUUAUGGUUCAUAAGUUUGAACCGUCGGAUAGUCAAGUGAAGGGUUGAUCUUCCUCCAAGAAAUAAACCUUUGGGUUCAAAGUGGAUCUACAAAAGGAAAAGAAAGUUGAUUAAACUAUUGAAAAAUACAAAGCAAGACUUGUUGUCAUAGGCUUUAGACAAUAAGAAAGCCUUCUUUGACACAUAAUAGCCACUAACUAGGAUUACAUAAAUUCAGAUAUUAAUUGCACUAGAUGCGGUAUAUGUCCUUCAAAUUCGUCAAAAUGGAUGUGAAAAUAUUUUAUUUAAAAUGGAGAAUUGGAGGAAGAUAUUUACAUGGAACAACCCGAGGGUUUCAUGGUUCCUGGUAAAGAAAAAAAAGUUUGUAAACUUGUUAAGACACUUUGUGGACUAAAAACAAGCGCUAGACAUUAAAGUUACUGAUGUGAUUGAGAAGGUACUUGACAAGUUCAAGUAUUUGGAUUUCAAUAUUGUCAAGACUCCAAUAAAUGUGAGAUUUGUACUUCAAAAGAAUGAAGGCAAAAGUGACUCACAAUUGGAUUGUGCUAGAGUAUUGAGACGUAUGAUAUAUAUCAUAAAGUAUACGCGAUCAGAUAUAGCUUGGGCUAUUAGUAAACUGAGUCGGUUCACGAGUAAUCUCAAUUAAAUUCAUUGGAUGACAAUGAAAAGAGUUUUGGAGUAUUUAAAACAUACUUAUAAACUAUUGCUUUGCAUUAUAACUAAUAUUCAACAGUAUUGGAAGAAUAUAGUGAUGCAAAUUAAAUCACCAGGUCAAAUGAAGAAAAAUUCACGAGUGGAUUUGUAUUUACUCUUGGUGGAGGAGCAGUCUCUUAGAAAUCUUUCAAACAGAAAUUUAUCACUUGCUCUACUAUGAAAUCUGAGUUUAUCACUCUAGAUAAGACUGGUGAAGAAGUUGAAUGACUCCAAAAUUUCUUGAAAGAUUUUUGGCCCAAACCUUUUAGCUCUAGUAUGCAUACACAAUGAGAGUUAAUUUGCAAUAGGUAGGGCAUGGAGCAUGAUGUAUAAUGGAAAGUCUAGUCAUAUAUGACGUAGACAUAAUAUCGUUAAAAAACUACUCUCUAGUGGAAUGAUCAUAAUUGACUAUGUAAAGUCAAAGGAUAAUAUGACAUAUCCACUUAUGAAAGGCCUAACUAGAGAGGAAGUUGAUAGAUUAUCCAAGGGAAUGAGACUAUGGCUAAGAACAAGUCAUUGUGGCUGUAACUCUACCUAGAAGACUGGAGAUCCCAAGAUCUAGGUUCAAGGAGAUCAAACAAAGUCAUUGAUGACGGUUUAACAUUGUCAAAAAAUUUUUUAUGGUUCAUUCUCAUGAUAAGACAAUGUUCAGUAACAAGGAUAAAGGCAUUAGGACUUUUUAAUGGUUUCUAAGUUUGAUACAUGGUAUAUCAAAUAGUGUAUCUACGGGAUAACACAUUUAGAAAUCACUUAUGUAAGUGUGAAGUGUAAGCCGCUUCAAGGAGAAUUCGGUAAGGCCAGUUCUCUACGCACUUAUAAACCAAGACGUGUUCAUGGCUGAAACGAACAAAACAAUGAGAACCAAAAACAGUUCAAAGGGGUUGAUUGUGUGACUUAUGUUGUUUAGGUAUACACCAAAGCUCAAUGGUUCAAAGAUAUUAAAUCUACCAAUUGACCGAGUAUAUCCGAUAUAUGUUCACUAUGGAAAGUUCAAAGGGAAACCCACUUAUCCAGAUGCAAUCAAUCUUUACUUACGAAUCACACAAUUUUUCAUGCAUAUGUUUUAACAAUAGUCAAUACCUAUUCAUGUGGGGAUUGUUGGAUUUUAAAGGUAUGAACAAGAAAUGAAGUGUUGUGACCUUUAUGAAAGGUUGUGUCAUUUCUAAAGGGUUGUGAUCGGUUGAAAGGUUGUGUCUUUUUCAAAGUGUUGUGACCUUUCUGAAAGGUUGUCUUCUUUCCAAAGAGUUGUGACCUUUACCCUUUGUUGGCUAUAAAUAGAGAGACUUUCUCUCAUUUUUCUGCAUCGAAUUCUUCCCUUCUCUUGCAUACAUUUCUUACAAAACAAAAUCGAUCGAUCGUGUCUGUGUGUGUGAUUCGUUGUUGUCAUUUUGAGUUUGUUGAAAUUAUUGAAAUUUUGAGGUACCGUUACUUCUUUAAUGGUUAAUCCAUUUUUAUCUUGGGAGGAAUUAAUCUGCAACCUCGAGUACUUGAGGGGAUUAAAUUUCUUAAGGACACACAGUGGGUUCUGUGGACUCGGAUAGUUCUUUGUUUUUCUUUUCAUCUUUUAUUAUUUCUGGUUUGCUAAUCUGAAUACAGGAGAUAACAAAUACUUUUAUAUUUAGAUGAAGAGACUUAAAUGUAAGUUUUAUAGAGUGGUGGUUAGACUGAUUUUGUUGUAUGGGGCGGAAUAUUGGCCAAUCAGGAACUCUCAUAUUCAAAAGAUGCAUGUCAUGGAAGUGAGGAUGUUGAGGUGGAUGUGUGGGCAUACAAGGGGCGACAAGAUUAGGAAUGAGGGUAUCUAGCUAGGAUAAGGUGGCAGGGAGAUACCUCCGUGGUGGAAAAGAUGAGGGAAGUGAGAUUAAGAUGGUUUGGGCAUGUGAAAGGGAGAUGUGCAGACCCCUGGUGAGGAGGUGCGAGAGGUUGGUUAUAGUAGGUACGAGGAGAGGUAGAGGUAGACCAAAGAAGUAUUAGGGAGAGGUGAUUAAACAGGAUAUGACACAACUUCAAGUUACCGAGGACAUGACCUCAGCUAAGAGGGUGUGGAGGAUGUGAUUUAGACUUUUAGGGUAGAAGGUUAGUAGAUAGUGCAGUGUUGUUUUAUAUUGUGCAGCAUCUGAUAGCACAGAUUAUACACUCACUUCUUAUUCCUCACUUCCUUGUGCAACACAUAUAUUUAUAUAUCUAACAUUUUCGUGAUUUUCUUUGGCUGCAGCAAAAAGAAAGUCGAAACGAAUUCUAGUUGCAGGUAACUAUCUAUAGCUACAAAUGUGCUACCGUUGCAUAAAAACACCUACACACACAGAUAAAGAGAACGUUCUUCACGGGAACGUUAUUAUGCUGAUAAAUAUAGUAUCCUGCAGAACUAGUGCAACUUCAAAAAUUGACAGCAAUCUUCCAAUUUGUGUCUUGACAGCAGCAGUUACUUCUUCUAUUGGGGGAAUUGCAAUGUUAGUUGUCCUAUUCCUCUACUUAAGAACAAAAUGCUCCUUCAUUUCCUGGAAGACAAAAGGAGAGGAUUACAGAAAUGUAAAAGCCUUCUUGAAGAACCAUGGAUCACUCGCACCAAGGAAGUACAGUUAUUCUGAAGUUAAAAAGAUGACUGAGUAUUUCAAAAACAAACUUGGUCAAGGAGGCUAUGGUUCCGUGUAUAAGGGAAAGUUGCAUACCGGAAGUCUUGUGGCAGUCAAGGUCUUGAAGGAAUCGAAGGGCGGGGGAGAAGAGUUUAUCAAUGAGGUAGCAAGUAUCAGUAGGACUUCUCAUAUUAAUAUUGUAUCACUUGUGGGAUUUUGUUUUGAGGGUCAACACAGAGCUCUCAUUUAUGAUUUCAUGCCCAAUGGGUCCCUUGAGAAGUUCAUUUACGAUGCAAAAUGUGGUACAAAUCGUCAACUAGGUUGGCAAACAUUGUACGAUAUUUCACUUGGCAUUGCUAGAGGAUUGGAGUAUCUGCAUCGCGGUUGCAAUACUAGAAUCCUUCAUUUUGAUAUAAAGCCUCACAACAUUCUUCUUGAUGAAGACUUUUGUCCAAAAAUAUCCGAUUUUGGCCUUGCAAAACUAUGUAACAAUAAGGAAAGCAUUGUGUCUUUAUUGGGCGCGAGAGGGACUAUGGGCUACAUUGCACCAGAAAUUGUGUGUAAAAACAUUGGAGGAGUUUCUCACAAGUCGGAUGUGUACAGCUAUGGUAUGAUGGUACUCGAGAUGGUUGGAGGAAGGAAAAAUGCUGAUACCAGUGAAAUAUACUUUCCACACUGGAUUUACAAACAAAUUGAACAAAAGAAAGAGCUUGGAUUAACUGGCAUUGUAGAGGAAGAGGAUAAAAAACUUGCAGAAAAGAUGAUACUGGUGAGCCUGUGGUGCAUCCAAACCGAUCCGUCCAGCAGGCCUUGUAUCAGUAUGGUCAUAGAGAUGUUACAAGGUGAACUCGAAUCUUUGCAAAUGCCUCCGAAGCCUUUCUUGUAUUCUUCUUCAGUGUCAGACAGUGACAUGCCUACUACCACCUAUAUGAUUCAAGACUCGAAAGAUCAAGUUUGAUGAUCUAGACUUGUCAAAUUAUGUAUGUAUUAUUUUGGAUUAAUUAAGAUAUCACACAAACUACUUUUGGUAAGUUAAUUCCAUUGUUACCAGAAUUAUAUAUCACUCUAAAGUGAAUAGCACUUUGAUAUAUGCGUUUUGCCAAUCGAUCAACUGUGGUUAGUCUUCUAUGUAGAGCUAACCAAAGAGUGAACUGAUGUCAGCACCUUACCCUUGCUGCAGUCCUGUCCAAAUACAGACUUUUAGUUUUACCAAACGCGUAGAUAAGCCAGGCCGUGCUUAUAAGUUUAGUCGGGAUUGGCUUAAAUAGAAGCAUAAAGAUAAGCCAAUGGACAUAGUAGUUUCAAUAGCAAGUCUUAUAAUUUAGACAGGACAGGAAGUGACUUUGCUGCAUUUUCAUGAAAUGUGAUCAACUACUUUUCCUACUUCCUUUGGGAAUGUACUCGUAAGCAAAAAGGAGUUCACCAUGCAUCCAUAAACGGAAUUAUACUUUUGGACUCAUUAUAAUUUAAUUAGAGUUGAAACGUUGAUCGACUAUUAAAUCAAAGUUGGAAUAAACUAACCAAAAAGCUGUAAAAAGUAGAAUUUCUCAGCUGAAAAUCCAUUUUUUUCCAACAGCAACAUUAAAUUAGUCCUACUUUGGGAUAAGUGUGGCUUACUAGAGUGGUUGAACAUAUUUAUCGUUAAUCAAUGAAUUGAGUGUUUGAGUCACGCUAAAAAAUAAGUGAAAAUAUAUUUUACCAUUCAAAGUUGUAGAAGCUGAAAAUUCCAAGCGUUUAUUUAAAUAUAUAUGGUGUAGAAAAAGUGGAAGAAGAAAAUAUAUGCACAAAAUGGCAGAGAUUAUAGAGGAGUAUCAAAUUAAUUUUGAAUAUCUUAUAGGAGUUGAGAAUGGUAGCUUUAGAUUAUUUGUCAGUUUUCUUGAUUUUCUAUCUCUUGGUUAUGUUUAAUUCAGCUGAAGCUCCGAAUCAAACCCAAAAUAAUAGUAGUAGCUGCCUCAAUGAAUUCAAGUGUGGGAGUCUUGGUAAUGUGAGUUUUCCUUUUUCUGUAUCUUCACAACCUGCUUGUGGAUUGUACACUAUAGAUUGUGAUGUUACUCCCAAUCCAACAAUUCGUCUCGGAGAAAAUGUUUAUAGUGUUCUGG
RNAcentral lists this long non-coding RNA (9839 nucleotides) under Solanum tuberosum (potato). Its description in RNAcentral is "long non-coding RNA (STUB_LNC004297)". Lineage: Eukaryota; Viridiplantae; Streptophyta; Magnoliopsida; Solanales; Solanaceae. The record is from RNAcentral.